GGCGGAAGCUAAACAUAACAUGAAAAGCCACAAUUUACAGUUACAACCAGACCUUAAGCAGGCCUACCUAGAAGUAAGUCGAAAUGAGUUGAAGAGCACUUAUUUUCUGGAAAGGAUGGUUAGAAUCUCACCCUAGGUAAAUGCGGGACGGAGCACGUCUGAGAUGGAGAUGAAAAGGAAGACGAGGGAGCGUCAGGGAGACUUACGGGACACAUGAGAGAGAGAAGCAUACAGAGACUUAUUUGACGAUGGCCUGAGGACCGGCGUAAUGAGAAAAGGCCUGAGCCAGGCAAGGAGAAAUAACAGGGGUGGAAGGAUUGGGAUGCGGGAGGGAGAUAUGCAGGUGGCCAGUUUGGAAUAUUCUUGUGAGCUACAAACAAGUGGAGACAAUGAGAAGGCAGCGUCCGGUGACGGGGAAAGAAGAACAGAGGCAAUGGGGUCCCCGAGGCUCGCUCUCCCCGCCCCUACCCGGCAGUCCUCCCUACACUCACAAGGGGAAAGUGAGCUCUGUCUUAAGUCGGAACGGCGGGGAGGUAGAGAAGACGGAAAAGGCAGAGCCUCAACCCGUCUAGAAACGUGCCUGGGCUCGAGAGAGGAAGGCAAGCCGAAUUCUCCCAAUUCCUCUCCGCCACAGUUCAGUUUCGUUUCCCGGCAGCACGGCACAGGAAUAGGCCCUUCCUUCAUGUGCGGCGCACACUAAUGACGCAAGAAAGGGGGUGAGGAAGAGUGGCAAGGGCGGGCGCCAAUCUCUGCGCCCCCUCGUGUCGGGCGGCUGGAAGCUGGGCUGAGCAGAAAUUGACCGUGGAGCAGGUGGCAAUUCAGACCCAUCAUGGUACAUCCAGCAACGAAGGAGAAAAGUGAAUACCACUUUUUAAAAAAACUUAUCUUUUUGUUCCCCACUUUGUACGAUGAGAACUUCAUAAAAUUUGGCUGUUGGUCUUGGAUGCAUUUCUGUCAGACCCAAAGGAAAUAUCCCCCUCAUGUGCCCACAUUGACUUGGAUCAUGCUAUGCAUGUAUGUAAGUGGGGUUUGUCGGACAAAAGCAAGCUACAUUGAAGAGACAGGAGGAGUCAGGGUACUGGAACACCUGAAGAUCACCAAAUUUUUAGAAAGUAGACUCUCCACUGCCACAGGAAGACACAGUUGGACCUACAUUUAAAAAUAUCUCUUCUGGCUAUAUAACAACAUUAUGGUCAGGGAAAGAGAAAAAUGCUGGCUCUACUGCCCAAGACCGCUCAGGAACAGCAGAGACCAUGAGCUCUGGUCAAAACCUAGGAGGAUUCUCAUCCGCAGAAAGGACAUCAAGACUGCUGACCCUGCCAACAAUCGGAGAAGUUAAUUAUUUGCUGCUUACUCUCCUGCCACCUGACUAAGAAAAGGAACUUCCCUCCUUCCUUUCAGCACAAAGGGGAAAACUAGAAGAGUCGCAAAUUAGGGGUGGGAAAAAGACAAUAUAUAUUUGACAAAACAGAACAGACCAAAAACAGAUGUACAACAUGAAUACACAUUUUAACAGAUGAAGCCUCUCUAAUCUCUAUGCUCUGGAGAGGUGUCCUCAAAUUUUCCACUGAAAAUUCCAGGUCAGUGACUGAAUGGUUAACAUCUAUAAGCACUCCAAAACAAAUACAUGUAUUCUGAGCCAGCUUUAUAGGCACAGGAAGCCCAGUCUUGCAUGUUAUUGGUGCAAACCAGGGGUUGGGAACCUGUGGCCUUCCACACAUUGUAGACAUUGUAGUCCAGCAACUCCCAUCAUCCCCUGCCAUUGGCCAAGGUGGCUGGGGCUGAUGAAAUUUGGAGUCCAACAUCUGGAUGGGCACAGGUGCUACUUGUAUAAACCCACAAUUUAAAAAUAAUUGAUGCACUAGCAAAGAACUUACAAAUAGGUUUGGCCAAAUCGACGCCACAGCACUAGCCAGUUAAUAUGGGAAGUGGUAUUUUUUAAUAUGACAAGGAGCCUUUUCUACCAACAGAUAUAACUGGUUUGUAUUUUGAUUCUCAGAGCAGAUGUUUGGUUUCUUUUUGGUUCUUAGGGCUGCUUCUUCACCCACUAGUUUCCCACAGAAAUAUCAAUUCAGUAUACAAAACCAAAAUGUGUAUACUAUUGCAUAUGUCAAGUAAACAUAUUGUUAUUUCACAAUGUAUACACACUGUAAAAUAGACACCAGUUGUCACAUGGCAGUAUGCAUAUGGUUCCCCUAUGCAGAGGCUAUAUCACACAGGGAAUAGCAACAGGGAGAGUAGAGCAGAACACCCAGAAAAGUAGCCUCGCCUCCCUCUUCUGUAAUGAGUGUUCAUUUUUACAAUGGCUAAACAGUUGAAAUCAAGAGAAGUAGGUAUACCAUCACUAGCAAUGAAGAUUGCCUUGUUUAGCCUCUUCUAAUCUUGUUCCAACUCAU
Long non-coding RNA from Rhineura floridana, 2396 nucleotides. RefSeq lists it as uncharacterized. The transcript has 3 exons. NCBI's taxonomy places the organism in Eukaryota, Metazoa, Chordata, Lepidosauria, Squamata, Rhineuridae. The record is from RefSeq and is a predicted model, not a curated record.